This 77-nucleotide transfer RNA is filed under the name bacterium. RNAcentral describes it as "tRNA-Arg". It matches the Rfam family "tRNA". Rfam says of the family: Transfer RNA (tRNA) molecules are approximately 80 nucleotides in length. Their secondary structure includes four short double-helical elements and three loops (D, anti-codon, and T loops). The record is from RNAcentral.
GCGCCUGUAGCUCAGAGGAUUAGAGCGUCUGACUACGGAUCAGAAGGUCGGGGGUUCGAUUCCCUCCAGGCGCGCCA